Molecule: ribosomal RNA, 253 nt
Filed under: uncultured bacterium
Lineage: Bacteria
Description: partial 16S ribosomal RNA
Rfam family: Bacterial small subunit ribosomal RNA
Source: RNAcentral
UACGAAGGGUGCGAGCGUUGUUCGGAUUUAUUGGGCGUAAAGCGCGCGUAGGCGGGCUCAUAAGCCAGAUGUGAAAUCUCGGGGCUCAACCCCGAAACUGCGUCUGGAACUGUGGGCCUAGAGUAUCGGAGAGGGAAGUGGAAUUUCGCAUGUAGGAGUAAAAUCCGUAGAGAUGCGAAGGAACACCAGAGGCGAAGGCGACUUCCUGGCCGAUUACUGACGCUGAGGCGCGAAAGCGUGGGGAGCAAACAGG